This 2657-nucleotide long non-coding RNA is filed under the name Sipha flava (yellow sugarcane aphid). RNAcentral's name for it is "uncharacterized LOC112684200, transcript variant X4". Lineage: Eukaryota; Metazoa; Arthropoda; Insecta; Hemiptera; Aphididae. The record is from RNAcentral.
CUGUAACUAAGUUCGUGCCAACAGUAAGAACAUUGAGCUAUAGUACUGGACUUUAUAGUAAAAUGAUUCCAUAUUGUACUUCGUUUACGUUGUUGAACUAAUACCAAGACUUAUGACAUUAACGUGUAUAAGUACAAUUAAUACAAAAUAAAAAAAAAAAAAAGAAGAAAUUAUAACUAAUGAGAUGAGGUCGGAGAUUACAAUCUUGGCACUUUAUACUAAUGAUGGUAAGAAAUGGUCAAGAUGUGUCAUUUGAGAACGAAUGGGUCACACUUGUGAACGAACCAAUCCAGUUCGCAAAAAUAUAAAAAGUCGUUCAUUCGUUCAUUCGUUCAAUUUUGUUCUCGUUCGGGUUGCACUGUUUGUGAACGAAUCGACCCGGAAUCCGGAUCAUUAAUUGAAAGUCCUUCAUUCGUCCGAUUUUGAUUUGGUUGCACUGUUCGUAAACGAUGUUUUUUCUUUAAUUAAAAUCGCUUGUAUUUAAUUGGAACAACACAUACAUACGACUGUUUCCAGAACGUUAUCUCAAAAAUAUUUUACUAGCUAAUUUCAUGAAAACAAACGUUCCGUGUGUAUAAUUGUUUUUUUUGUUUUACGAUUAAUUCCAGCACAGUUCGCAGCGGUAAUAAAUAUUCAAUAAAAAUCAAAAGGAGAGAAUGGGUUGAAUACAUAUAGAGAGCAGGAGAAAAAUAUAUAACAAUGAUCCAGAAAAAUGUCCUAUUAGAGGAUGCGAAUAACAGAGAUCGAUGAAAGGAAUUAAUGAUGGCAAAAAUGAAUCUACAAAGCUCAAUAAGCUGUUAAGAAAAAGAAGAUAUACUUAUGUUUUAAUUAACUAAUUCAUAUUUAAUAUAAGAUCAGAUUACUUUAUCAUUAAUCUAUUUAUAUUUUUGUUGAUUUUAACCUGUUUUUUUUGGUUUGUAAUCAUUAGUCUAGCUUUUGAAAAAAGCCUUUUGCAUGGAACUGAUGUUGCUAAGAUAUGUAGACGUAUUUUUACAAUUUCAUAGAGGCGUGGAUAUAUUUUUUGUUAUUCUGAUAACCAGAGCUAAGGAUUUCCAUGUUUAUUGAUGAUUGGUUCAUUUAAUUAUUUAUCUAUAACAAUUAUCCCUGCUGCUGUAUAGUUAUUUCUACUAAUGGCAUUAUUUACAGAUUCAUCAAAUUAUUUCCAAGUUGCUGAAUUGGAAUACAGAGGUGCUAAAGAACAUGAUGGUUGAGAUGUGAUGUCUAAUUGUUCAGUUUGUAUACUCGAUAAUUUAUUUUGAAGUUGAAAUACACCUCUAUUAUAUUUAUCUGUAUUAUUAAAUCUAUGUUUUUUGAAUCUACAAUCCAAAAUUAUAGUUAGAGUAAUGAGAAUAUCAUCUUUAAUUUUGUCAAACCAAAUCAUAAUAUUUUCUAGUGUUGACCAUAUUCAGCACUUCUAGAGGUAAACUUUUUUCAUUUAUAAACGUGAGUAAUUUUUUAAAUGGCUUUUACAAAAAUGACCUGUUUUGAAAUUGUUAUAUAUUAUUCAACUGUAACUUCAUAAAAAUGUUAUUUUAUAAAAAUACAUCUUUAGAUUUAUCGACCACUUACCAUUAAUGGGGAGCAUGAGUGUUUAAUUCAAUUUUGUUUAAAAUGACUAAUGUUGCAAUGAUUGGUUCCUUAAUUUUCAAUACUCUAUCCAGCAAAUUAUAGGUUGAGUUUUAGCGUAUCUGUUAAUUUUGUUUUAGUUUUAAAAUUGGGUAUUCUGUAUGUUUUUAAUAUUCGUGUAAUAUGACUAAUGUGUGAGAACUUCUAUUAAAAUAUGAUACAAUAUCUUUUAUUUUUGUUAUUAUUGAUUCAAUUUUUAUUAAUCCAGAAUGAAUAAUCAAGUUGAUAGUAUGGGCAAAACAUGACAGCCGUCUCCAAUUGCAUUUAUCAAUUGCAAGUUUUAUAUUCUCAGCAUUAUCUGUUACCACAACAGUUAUACACUACUUCAACUAAUCAUGACGUUCUAGGAAACCGGUACAUCCCAACAAAACAUGAUAAUUCAAUGAUAUUUUCUGGAUGUAUAAAAUUUACUGACAUAUAAUGGCAGAGUUCAUAGGAUGAAAUUUGUACGAAAAAUGAAUGACUUGUACUUUGGAUCAUUGAAGAUGAUUUAGUUACCGAAGAAUUUAAUGUUACAGAUAUUUCUGAUUGAUAAGUAUAAAUGGAUGUUAGUUGUUGUGUAUUGUCCAAAUAUUCAGAGUUUGAGUCCUCUAUCUAAUGAAAAAUUAUUUAUUCUCUAAUGAGGAUGGAGACCAUUGGAAUUACUUUGGAUCAUUGUGUCAGUAUAAUGGGAAAUCAUGUGGAUUACUGAAUUAACCAGCAACUAACCACCAACAUUCUAAUACGAAGCCCAACAAAUAUGGGAUAGAUAUUUUGAUUAUUUUAAUAAUCAAGGAGCGUGCAGGGCCAACAAGAACUUUUGAGUGCGCCAAAGAUCGCUGUUGAACAAACGGAUGAAUGAAUGAGUUCAUUUGAUUGAACCAAAAUACUUUUGGCUUAUAGAUGUCAUCUGUAUCCUUUCUAGAUCUUAUGCUGUCUGAUAUUUUUUUUAACUCUUGACACUGCAGCUGCACGUAAAUCUCUAUCACGGUAUGCAUCCAAGGCUGGGUCGUAUAGCACUUUUUCCAUUGAAUAUAACUCCAAAAAACGUG